RNAcentral lists this transfer RNA (93 nucleotides) under Paracoccaceae bacterium. RNAcentral describes it as "tRNA-Leu". The record is from RNAcentral. Lineage: Bacteria; Pseudomonadati; Pseudomonadota; Alphaproteobacteria; Rhodobacterales; Paracoccaceae.
CGGAAGGCGUGGGAAAGGUUGAGAAACGGGCAUUUUGGGACUUAAAAUCCCUCGGCCUUGGCCAUCCGGGUUCGAGUCCCGGCGCCCGGACCA